AUAACAUAAAAGCAUCUAUUAUCAUCACAUUUCCUGUGCUUUAAGCUGAUUUGAGCCUUUUGCUCAUAACCAGGUUCAAAACCAAGGCUUGAAAAUAUGCAUUUUUUUUAAUAUUUGAAAAAAUACAUUCAUUGUAACAGGUUAUAUUUACUUAAAAGUAAACCGGUGCAUAAUGUAUGAGUUUCUUGGUAGCAAUUAGACUAUACCAGAAAGAUUUCAACACAGUUACAGUUGCUCAGUUACACACAUUGGGUAAAUAAUUCAUUUGAUUCCUUUUUGCUAUGUUGAUAAAGUAUGACCGUUUUUGUGGUCAGGUAGCUGAAGUGAUCUUCUUAAAUAACCAGUGAACGUUAUGCCUAUUAUUCACACUUCAAAAAUUAUACCGUAGUGAAACGUUGAAUAUAGGUGAAUUUCUCUAAUAUGAAUCAUUAUGAGAUUUAAAAAAGACAAACAAACAUAAGAUUUUUAAGCCUAAUUCUAGACAUUUUUAUCAACUAUAAAUUUCAAGCUUGAAACAAAGCUUGACAUGCUGACAGCGCUGCCAUUUCUCCGUCUAAAUCUGUUUCCAGGGGCAUAGUGAUAGGGUCAGAAAAACAGCUCUCCCGGUUUAGGCGAUGCCUACUUUGGUUUAAGUCCAAAUACAGAUAUAGAUAUUGCGUUACAUCCUAAUACAUACAUACAUACAUACAUACAUACAUACAUGCAUGCAUGCAUACAUACAUACAUACAUACAUGGUGCUAGAAAGUUUGUGAACUAUUAAGAAUAUAAAUAUGACCUAAAACACCAUUAAAUUUUCACACAAGUAGAUAAAGUGAACCGAUUUAAACAAAUGAGAUGAAAAUAUUAUACUUGGUCAUUUAUUUAUUGAGGAAAAUGAUCCAAUAUUACAUAUCUCAGAGUGGCAAAAGUAUGUGAAAUUCCUCAGUAUGUGACAUUCCUUCAACUCUGGGAUGAACUGCUUGCUUCAUUACCUUCCACAACAUUUGUAUUGGAUUAAGGUCAGGACUUUGACUUGGCCAUUCCGAAACAUUAACUUUAUUAUUCUUUAACCAUCCUUUAGUAGAUGACUUGUGGGUUUAGGGUCCUUGUCUUGCUGCAUGACCUACUUCAGAUGUCCUGAUAUUUUCCUUUAGAAUUUCUGGUAUAAUUCAAAAUUCAUUGUUCCAUCAAUGAUAGCAAGCCAUCCUGGCCCAGAUGCAGCAAAACAGGCCCAAACCAUGAUACUAGCACCACCAUGUUUCACAGAAGGGAUACGGUUCUCAUGCUGGAGUGCAGUGUUUUCCUUUCUCCAAACAUGACGCUUGUUUUCAUCCACAAAACAGUUUUCCAUCAAGCCUUCUGGCUUGUCCAGGUGAUCUUUAGCAAACUGCAGAUGGGCAGCAAUGUUGGAGUUUGAGAGCAGUGGCUUUCUCCUUCUCCUGAUGUGUCCACAAACUUUUGGCCAUUUAGUAUCCAUACAUAAUUUAAAUACUUACAAUUCUUUUGUGUUUACUUAUUUUAUUGGUCCUAUAAUAAAAUAAAAUAUGGUUUUAUCAACCAAUGAACGAAUAAAACUAGUCAGUGUAAAAGAUAUAAUGCACAAAUCAUUUCAACUCUAAUACUGUAAAUAUAAUGUAGGGCAUAGUGCAUGAUGAAUUGUAUUCUGAAUGACUGUGGAGCUCAGCGACUUGCAAAUCGGG
Ictalurus punctatus (channel catfish) is the source of this 1680-nucleotide long non-coding RNA. The record is from Ensembl. NCBI's taxonomy places the organism in Eukaryota, Metazoa, Chordata, Actinopteri, Siluriformes, Ictaluridae.